ACAGUCACAUCACUUUGAAACAUCAGUUCUCGUACGAUCACCGAAGUUAAGCAAUUUCGUUCCUGGUUAGUAGUUAGGUGGGUGAUCACUUCGGAAUACCAUGUGCUGUAA
Acanthosepion pharaonis is the source of this 111-nucleotide non-coding RNA. The record is from the annotation of a GenBank genome assembly. NCBI's taxonomy places the organism in Eukaryota, Metazoa, Mollusca, Cephalopoda, Sepiida, Sepiidae.